This is a non-coding RNA of Sphaeramia orbicularis (orbiculate cardinalfish), 72 nucleotides long. The record is from the annotation of a RefSeq genome assembly. Lineage: Eukaryota; Metazoa; Chordata; Actinopteri; Kurtiformes; Apogonidae.
GACAUGGUGGCCAAAUGGUAAGGUGUUGGUCUUAUAAACCAAAGAUCAUCGGUUCAACCCCGAUCCAUACCU